This 1355-nucleotide ribosomal RNA is filed under the name uncultured bacterium. RNAcentral's name for it is "partial 16S ribosomal RNA". It matches the Rfam family "Bacterial small subunit ribosomal RNA", at positions 8 to 1360 of the family's 1533-position model. The record is from RNAcentral.
AGAGUUUGAUCCUGGCUCAGGAUGAACGCUGGCGGCGUGCUUAACACAUGCAAGUCGAACGGAACUUGUUAAGCUGAAACUUCGGUCGAUUCUUUUCGAGUUUAGUGGCGGACGGGUGAGUAACGCGUGGGUAACCUGCCUUGUACUGGGGGAUAACAGCCAGAAAUGGCUGCUAAUACCGCAUAAGCGCACAGAGCUGCAUGGCUCAGUGUGAAAAACUCCGGUGGUAUAAGAUGGACCCGCUGUUGGAUUAGCUAGUUGGCAGGGCAGCGGCCUACCAAGGCGACGAUCCAUAGCCGGCCUGAGAGGGUGAACGGCCACAUUGGGACUGAGACACGGCCCAGACUCCUACGGGAGGCAGCAGUGGGGAAUAUUGCACAAUGGGGGAAACCAUGAUGCAGCGACGCCGCGUGAAGGAAGAAGUAUCUCGGUACGUAAACUUCUAUCAGCAGGGAAGAUAAUGACGGUACCUGACUAAGAAGCCCCGGCUAACUACGUGCCAGCAGCCGCGGUAAUACGUAGGGGGCAAGCGUUAUCCGGAUUUACUGGGUGUAAAGGGAGCGUAGACGGCUAAGCAAGUCUGAUGUGAAAGGCUGGGGCUCAACCCCGGGACUGCAUUGGAAACUGUUUGGCUUGAGUGCCGGAGGGGUAAGCGGAAUUCCUAGUGUAGCGGUGAAAUGCGUAGAUAUUAGGAGGAACACCAGUGGCGAAGGCGGCUUACUGGACGGUAACUGACGUUGAGGCUCGAAAGCGUGGGGAGCAAACAGGAUUAGAUACCCUGGUAGUCCACGCCGUAAACGAUGAAUAAAAGGUGUCUGGGGAGCAAAAGCUCUUUAGGUGCCGCCGCAAACGCAUUAAGUAUUCCCACCGGGGGAGUUCGUUCGCGAGAAUGACUCUCAAGAUGUAUUGGCGGGGACCCGCACAAGGGGGUGGCGCAUGUGGUUUAUUUCGGAGCAACGCGAAGCACCUUCCCUAGUCUUGACAUCCCCCUGACCGGUACGUAGCGGUUCCUUUCCUUCGGGACAGGGGAGACAGGUGGUGCAUGGUUGUCGUCAGCUCGUGUCGUGAGAUGUUGGGUUAAGUCCCGCAACGAGCGCAACCCUUAUUGUUAGUUGGUCCCAUUAAGUUGACCACUCUAGCGAGACUGCCCGGGUUAACCGGGAGGAAGGUGGGGAUGACGUCAAAUCAUCAUGCCCCUUAUGUCUAGGGCUACACACGUGCUCCAAUGGCAAGUACAAAGAGAAGCAAUACUGUGAAGUGGAGCAAAACUCAAAAACUUGUCUCCGUUCGAAGUGUAGGCUGAAACUCGCCUACAUGAAGCUGGAGUUGCUAGUAAUCGCGCAUCAGAAUGUCGC